GGUAGGCAACUCUGCUGCACAUUCUAUACAUCACCUUGGGCGGAACAAAUGUAUCCCUAGCAGCAAGACGGAACCUUUAUUUGUGAAUUUUGUUUCCACUUUCCAGAGGAACAUCUGAUCACAUUGCACGUGGCUUGUUCCUGGACCGCUGAUUGCAACUUUUGAGGAUGUAAAGUAAACAUCUUAUAUCCGGAGCAUCUGGUGAUGGAGAAAGAUCAGGAUAAGAACCAGGGAGGCUUUGUGGGAUAUGCUGAUGAGGGAGGGAAACGUGACCCUACACAAGAAGAUGCUUCACAAGUUCCUCCUGAGGCUGAGCAGAAGGACAGUGCACCACAACUACUGCUGGGUGGGAGGAAAGUGGAUGAUAUGAGAUUUAUGAUCACAUGCACUAACUGGUACUGAUCAAGCCUCUUCAGUGCAUGUAACAUGACUUGCAAUUAUCUGCCUGCUGCUUAUUUUAUUUUUAUAAAGCGGAUUAAUUAGU
Molecule: long non-coding RNA, 484 nt
Organism: Pseudophryne corroboree (corroboree frog)
Lineage: Eukaryota; Metazoa; Chordata; Amphibia; Anura; Myobatrachidae
Exons: 2
Source: RefSeq, a predicted model, not a curated record